This 19-nucleotide unclassified non-coding RNA is filed under the name synthetic construct. The record is from RNAcentral.
AAUAUCGUAGUCUGAGAGC